UGUGACAGCUUACGCCAUUUCAAUGGCGAUUUAAAACGUUGCAUCUGAGCUGGCAACAUUUUUGUCAACCUUAUCUGUAGCCUAGUUUAUCGGUAUUGCUCAACAAGGGAACCGGACCGUAGGCCUAUGACGUUAUGUAACAUUUUGUUCGUUUGUUCCUUUGAAGGGAGGAAUGGCGGUGAGAUCUGAAGAAAACAAUUUACAAUGAUCUCAGUCGAACACUGGAGUCCGGAGGAGGUAGCGGAAUGGAUCCAUCUCAUUGGGCUUACAGAAUGCGCACAGAGCUUUCUCGAAAAUGCAAUAACUGGCGUGGAUCUCUUGGAAAUCAGUGAUUCAGUGUUAGAGCUGUCCAUUCUAAGUCAACCUAGAACCAUGACCCCUCUUGGCCUGUUCUACCACUGACCAGCUGCUUUUGGAUCCUACUGCAACUCCCCACUAGUCAAGCUCGUUUUUUUCAGGCCCUUCGUGAGUUGUUUGUUCUGACUGCUGACUCGGCCAAGGACCUAUAGCAGUGUUUCUCAAACUCAGUCCUGGGGACCCCAAGGGGUGGACUUGGGGGGUUUUGCCCUAGCACCACUACACAGCUGAUUCAAAUGAUAAAGCUUGGAUUAUUUGAAUCAGCUGUGUAAUGAAGUAAAAAAAACAAUGCGCAUCCCUUGUGGUCCCCAGAUUGGAACUUUGGAAAUGUUGACCUAAAGAAUGUAGUAAAAUGUCAUUUUGUUUCAGCAUAUACACUACCGUUCAAAUGUUUGGGGUCACUUAGAAAUGUCCUUGUUUUUGAAAGAAAAGCA
Salvelinus sp. IW2-2015 is the source of this 791-nucleotide non-coding RNA. Lineage: Eukaryota; Metazoa; Chordata; Actinopteri; Salmoniformes; Salmonidae. The record is from RefSeq and is a predicted model, not a curated record.